Molecule: ribosomal RNA, 483 nt
Filed under: Terulia paradispar
Lineage: Eukaryota; Metazoa; Arthropoda; Insecta; Hemiptera; Cicadellidae
Description: partial large subunit ribosomal RNA
Source: RNAcentral
CUGCUCUAUGAUUAUUUUAUUUAAAUGGCUGCAGUAUUUUGACUGUACAAAGGUAGCAUAAUAAUUAGUUUUUUAAUUGAGAACUUGUAUGAAUGAAGAUAUAAGGGGUUUAUUUUAUUGGUUUUAAUUUUUGAAUUUAAUUUUUUGGUUAAAAAGCUAAAUAGUUUUUUAGGGACGAGAAGACCCUAUAGAACUUUAAAUUUAAGAAUUAAAUUUACUUUUGUUAAUUAAUUUAAUUUAAUUUAUUAAAUUUUUAAUUGGGGUGAUUAAUAAAUUUUAUAUCUUUAUUUUUUAAUUUCAUUUAUAUUUGUAAUUUUUGAUCCUAUUUAUUAGAUUAUAAGAAAAGUUACCUUAGGGAUAACAGCGUAAUUUAAAUGGAAAGUUCAUAUUUAUAUUUAAGUUUGCGACCUCGAUGUUGAAUUAAGGGUAAAUUAGGGUGUAGAAGCUUUGAUUAUAAGUCUGUUCGACUUUUAUAUUCUUACA